GUGAAAAGUGGGAGGGAUCAUGGAUAGUGAAAGUGAAUCUAUCUUCACUUUCAAUCAUGUUCCUCUCUCUGUUUGUUCCUUUGUUUUAGGGUGAUUGAUUCAUUAAUGGCUGCUAUGCCAUAGUCAAAGAAGCCGACUAUGCAACGCAAUGGCAAACGUCACAUGACACGCCCACUCCACUUGACUGUCACUACUCUCAUGCGGUGCCAGUUGCAGAUGCUGCUUCUUUCUUCUAUAAAUUCAUCCAAUACCAAGCCCCAAGGGAACACAACAAUACAUUAUCACCCACUUCAAUUCAGUUCAAUUCGAUUCAAUUCUCUCUAACUCACUUACUUGUUAACCGCACCAAUGGCUCAGCAAUUGGAUCCCAGUAAUCCUCUACUCACUCCAUACAAGAGGGGUAACUUCAAUCUCUCCCACAGAGUUGUUUUGGCGCCGCUUACCAGACAGAGAUCCUACAACAACGUUCCUCAGCCCCAUGCUAUCCUCUAUUACUCUCAAAGAGCUUCCCAAGGAGGUUUCCUCAUCACUGAAGCCACCGGUGCCUCCGACACCGCUCAAGGCUAUCCAGACACGCCUGGCAUUUGGACAAAGGAACAAGUUGAAGCGUGGAAACCAAUUGUGGAUGCUGUUCAUGCCAAAGGUGCUACAUUCUUCUGUCAGAUUUGGCAUGUUGGAAGGGCUUCAUCUUCAGUUUAUCAGCCAAACGGGCAAGCACCAGUAUCUUCUACAGACAAGCCACUUACACCAACAAUUAGAGCUAAUGGCGUUGAUGUAGCAGAUUUCACGCAACCAAGGCGGCUAAGGACAGAUGAAAUUCCUCAAAUUGUCAAUGAUUUCAAACUUGCCGCAAGGAAUGCUAUUGAAGCUGGUUUUGAUGGAAUUGAGAUCCAUGGAGCUCAUGGCUACCUGCUUGAGCAAUUUAUGAAAGAUAAAGUGAACGACCGAACUGAUGAAUAUGGUGGUUCCCUUGAGAACCGCUGUCGAUUUCCUUUAGAGAUUGUUGAAGCUGUUGCAAAUGAGAUAGGGGCAGAAAGAGUUGGAAUUAGAUUAUCACCUUUUGGAGAGCAUGGAGAAUGUGUUGACUCAAAUCCCAAAGAGUUGGCACUUUAUAUGGUUAAUGCGCUAAAUAAAUACAGUGUUUUGUACUGUCACAUGGUAGAACCAAGAAUUAAAAAUAAUGCAGAACAGGUUGAAAGCUCUCAUAGCCUGGUACCAAUGAGAAAAGCCUUCAAGGGCACUUUUAUAGUUUCUGGAGGCUAUAUUCGACAAGAAGGGAUCAAUGCUAUAGCUGAAAACAGGGCAGAUCUUAUUGCUUAUGGUCGUUGGUUCUUAGCUAAUCCAGAUUUACCAAAGAGAUUCGCGCUUGAUGCUCCUCUCAACAAGUAUAAUCGGGAGACUUUCUACACUUCUGAUCCGGUUAUUGGUUACACUGACUAUCCAUUUCUUGAAUGAAGAAACCAAUGCUGUUGCAUACAAGGGUGGAACCUCUUGAUUUAAUAAGCUAUUCUUCACUUGCACAUCCCUUUCUUGCAAUUUGGUUGGUCAUUGUACUAGGAGUUAUGAUCCUUGAAUUUUAAUUAAUAAUGGAAGCAGAUCGCAUGUAAAACUAUGAUUUGUGUGUGAUAAUGACACUGAAUGCUAAUGGGAAGUAUUGGGCUAAA
Molecule: RNA transcript, 1664 nt
Organism: Lotus japonicus
Lineage: Eukaryota; Viridiplantae; Streptophyta; Magnoliopsida; Fabales; Fabaceae
Gene name: putative 12-oxophytodienoate reductase 11
Exons: 4
Source: RefSeq, a predicted model, not a curated record